AGUGAACGCUGGCGGUAGGCCUAACACAUGCAAGUCGAACGGCAGCACAGUAAGAGCUUGCUCUUACGGGUGGCGAGUGGCGGACGGGUGAGGAAUACAUCGGAAUCUACUUUUUCGUGGGGGUUAACGUAGGGAAACUUACGCUAAUACCGCAUACGACCUACGGGUGAAAGCAGGGGAUCUUCUGACCUUGCGCGAUUGAAUGAGCCGAUGUGGGAUUAGCUAGUUGGCGGGGUAAUGGCCCACCAAGGCGACGAUCCGUAGCUGGUCUGAGAGGAUGAUCAGCCACACUGGAGCUGGGACACGGUCCAGACUCCUGCGGGAGGCAGCAGUGGGGAAUAUUGGACAAUGGGCGCAAGCCUGAUCCAGCCAUACCGCGUGGGUGAAGAAGGCCUUCGGGUUGUAAAGCCCUUUUGUUGGGAAAGAAAAGCAGCAGGUUAAUACCCCGCUGUUCUGACGGUACCCAAAGAAUAAGCACCGGCUAACUUCGUG
Molecule: ribosomal RNA, 492 nt
Filed under: uncultured bacterium
Lineage: Bacteria
Description: partial 16S ribosomal RNA
Rfam family: Bacterial small subunit ribosomal RNA
Source: RNAcentral